CACCUGGCUGCAAUCAAGGGUUGCCAACACAAGAGUGGAACUGCUAGUAAAAGCCCUAGUGGGUGCUACUGCUGUGAGCUACAUUUAGAAGACUCCUGUCCCAGCAGCCACAAACAGCUUUACAGGGAUUAGGUGUUAGUAUAACGGAUGUCAUGGUGCUUAGCGAGUACCACUUCCUCCUGAUUGGGCUCACACUGAGGCUCGGACCCAGGACCUCUGCUUUACUAGCACAUGUGACCUCCCUCCCGAAGCGUCUUGCCAGUUGCCACAUGCGAAAAGCUAGCUAUUCGGCGGCGCAAUUAGGGACACUUCAGGCUGGGGCUUCACACAUCCCCAUGUGCUACAUCAGCUCCCCUGCAUAGGAGAAGACUGUGUGGGGUAAGAGGGAGCCCCCCUGCAUAGGAGAAGACUGUGUGGGGUAAGAGGGAGCUCCCCCUGCAUAGGAGAAGACUGUGUGGGGUAAGAGGGAGCUCCCCCUGCAUAGGAGAAGACUGUGUGGGGUAAGAGGGAGCUCCCCCUGCAUAGGAGAAGACUGUGUGUGGUAAGAGGGAGCUCCCCCUGCAUAGGAGAAGACUGUGUGGGGUAAGAGGGAGCUCCCCCUGCAUAGGAGAAGACUGUGUGGGGUAAGAGGGAGCUCCCCCUGCAUAGGAGAAGACUGCGUGGGGUAAGAGGGAGCUCCCCUGCAUAGGAUAAGACUGCGUGGGGUAAGAGGGAGCUCCCCUGCAUAGGAAAGACUGCGUGGGGUAAGAGGGAGCUCCCCCUGCAUAGAAGACUGCGUGGGGUAAGAGGGAGCUCCCCUGCAUAGAAGACUGCGUGGGGUAAGAGGGAGCUCCCCUGCAUAGAAGACUGCGUGGGGUAAGAGGGAGCUCCCCUGCAUAGAAGACUGCGUGGGGUAAGAGGGAGCUCCCCUGCAUAGAAGACUGCGUGGGGUAAGAGGGAGCUCCCCUGCAUAGAAGACUGCGUGGGGUAAGAGGGAGCUCCCCUGCAUAGAAGACUGCGUGGGGUAAGAGGGAGCUCCCCUGCAUAGAAGACUGCAUGGGGUAAGAGGCAGCUCCUCUAGUUUCCCCCAAAGUUGUCGUUCCGAGAUGCAUUUUCCCGUUUGAGUUACUCCUUGUUUCAAAAAACAAAUAAAGCACAAUGCUUCUCCUCCAUGUGACCUACUUGUUGUGUGUAAUGUACUGACAUGUAUGUGGAACUGAUAGAUGCAUACACACACUACAUGUUUUUAAAUGUAUGUAAAGUAUUUUGUCUGUAAUGCCUUUUUUAAUAUGACUAGCUGUCGUCAUUGGUGUCGGCUAAUGGGGAUCCUAAUAAAUCAAAUUUAAAUUGUUAUUAAAGUAAAAUGUUUAUUGCUUAAACCCCUGUCUCUCAUGCUGUUGGACUACCACACACAUGUGACAAGCCCCUCCACCUGUGGGCAUGCCACACAGUAAGCCUUGUGCUGUCACAGGAGGUGUCUACCCUAAGAUCAGUGGUGGAAAAAGUACCCAGUUUUCAUACUAGUGUAAAAGAAAAUUACUCCCAGUAAAAGUGAAAGUCACCCA
Molecule: long non-coding RNA, 1544 nt
Filed under: Salmo salar (Atlantic salmon)
Lineage: Eukaryota; Metazoa; Chordata; Actinopteri; Salmoniformes; Salmonidae
Description: lncRNA (ENSSSAG00000117901.1)
Source: RNAcentral